Molecule: ribosomal RNA, 253 nt
Filed under: uncultured bacterium
Lineage: Bacteria
Description: partial 16S ribosomal RNA
Rfam family: Bacterial small subunit ribosomal RNA
Source: RNAcentral
UACGUAGGUGACAAGCGUUGUCCGGAUUUACUGGGCGUAAAGAGCGCGCAGGCGGUCGUUCAAGUCGAGUGUGAAAGCCCCCGGCUCAACUGGGGAGGGUCACGCGAUACUGAUCGACUCGGAGGCAGGAGAGGGUAGUGGAAUUCCCGGUGUAGUGGUGAAAUGCGUAGAUAUCGGGAGGAACACCAGUGGCGAAGGCGAGUCUCUGGGGGCAACCUGACGCUGAGGCGCGAAAGCGUGGGGAGCGAACCGG